GAAAAUUUCUUCCUCGUUCCUGAUGAGUCCUCCAGAAGCAACACUAUCUAGACUCUGCUGGUGGCUCUCCACCCCCUCUCACGCCCUCCCCACCGAGUGACCUAGCUCCUUGGCGAGUCUGGGAUAAGGCACUUGGCAACGGUAGCCCAGAGCCUUCCUCCCCGCUCUCCCCUGGGACUGAGCUGCCCACGGGGAGCCAGCUUCUGCUUGGUUCUUCCAGUCCCUGCCAUGGCCCAAAGCUGCCUACACCAGCUGGGGGAGCCUGCCUAUUCCGGGUGCGACAUAAGGCAGCCCACUUCUCUGAGGACCGAGCCACGUUCUCCCAGAGCAGCUUUAUCUUUAGUAAAGGCAGAAAACAUUAGGACAGACACACAGAGAAGGAAGACCACGCGAAGACACAAAGAGAAGACAGCCACCUGCAAGCCAAGGAGAGAGGCCACAGAAGAAACUAACCCUGCCAGCACCUGGCUCUUGGACUUCCAGCUUCUGCAAUUGUGAGAACAUAAAUUUCUGUCUUUUAAACCACCCAAUCUGUGGUCCUUUAUUAUGGCAGCCCAAGCAAACCAGUAUACUCCUGGUACUUUCCUUCAUAGCAUGAAUCACAGAGGUAGCGACAUGUUAUCGUGUAAUUUUUUUGUGUGCCUGUAACUGUCACCUGUGCUGUCGUACAGGAACCACAGCAUCUUCUCCACAGCUCCAUCCCCAGGACAGUGCUUGGCACAGAGUAGGUGCUCAAGAAAUUAUUUGCAUGAGUGAAUGAACAAAUGAGCCUCGUCUCAGGCGACAAAGCAAGGGGAGACGUGGGAGGUGGACGCAACGCAGACGCCCUCUAUGACGCCUCUUGCCGCAUUGACAUUUCCCUCGUCCCUAACAACCCUCUGAUGUGGAGCUGUUCGAAUGCAAGAAUUGCCAUUUGAUUUACUCCCAAGUGACAUCAUAGCCAUCACCAUGGCAACACCCAGCGAUGCCUGUCUGCCAGACAAAGUCUCUGCCGUCAGGAAAGGGCAAAUGGACACCCAGGAUGCGAAGGAGUCAUUGGCGAGGCACAAGCGUCAGCCCUCACAGCCCUACAUUGGCAGCCAGGGCCUGAGGGACCUUGAGCAAGGAGCAGAUCUGGAGGGAGCAAGAGGUUUGCCCUUCGUUGCCUUGUUUCCUGAUUGCUCCCCUUCCCAGGAGCCUGGUCUGAGUAGAUGCUCCAAAAGGCAUCAAUUCUCUCCCUCACCUAAAAAGGCAACAUGGAAAUAAAUCAGGAUCUGGACCAAUGUACCAGGAAAGACACCAGCAGGAGCCGUCAAGGAGGACUCUCCGGGUUGGCUCCUGAAGGAUGAGGCAGCGCUGCUGGCACUGGGAGGAGGAGACGGCAUUCCAGGCAGAGAGUCCGCCUGGGGAUAAAAGUCACCCUAUGUUCCAGAAGCUGGAAAGGAGCCUGGGGAGGGGAUGGAACCGCAAUGAGUGAGCCCUGCAUUUCAGGCCGGAGGAAGGAAGACACAGAGAACCACCAUGUAGUCCAUGGAAAGAGUGAUCGCACUUGGAGUUUUGCAUGGGAACUCUGCCAGCCAUUGUGAGGUGGAUGACAGAUGGGAAAGAGCAGAGGCCGAGAGUCCAGUUAGCGGCGCUUGGAGCUGUGUGAAAGAGAUGAAGAUGCCCGAACCAAGGUGGUGGCAGUGGGGGAGGGAGAUGGGGGACAGCUUUGGAAAAUAGUUUCAAAACACUUACUGAGCACUUUUUCCACCACCUCUGAUCUCUCCACGUCCACUUGGAGCCUCCCCUCCAAACCAUCACUCCGCAGCUAGGUCAUCACUUCAGAAUGGAUCUGAUCACAUCACCCCUGCCUUAAAGCUUUCUGAUGACUUCUUACUGACCUUGAGAUUAAAGCCAGAUUCCUUCGCGUGAUCUGCAAGGGCCUGCGGGAUCUGUGCCUCUCCUGCUCCAUCCAUCACCACCACACAGCCUUUGCACAUGCUGUUCCCUCUGCCUCUGCUUUUCCUUCUUCUCCUCUAGUUAACACCUACUCAUGCAGAUCUCAACUCAAGUAGACUUCUCGACCUCCCUCAGUAGGUCAAAUUCCCUAUGUCAGACAAGCACCACGGAGUUCUCUUGGUGGCAUUUGUCGCAGCUAUUCUCGUACAUUAAUUAGUAGCUUCCUCUUCCACUAAAAUCUAAGCUCCUUGAGGUCAGCUCUGUGUGUGUUUUCACCUUCUCUGUGCGUCUCCAGAGCUUGGCACACAGGGGUGCUCAAUAAACAUUGGUUGAAUGAAUGAGUGAGUGAGUGAGCGUGCACCAUCACCAGGCACGGCGCUAGGCACUUCGAGAGACGUCAACAGGCAGGGACUUUUCAGGAGUGGAGGACCAGCCCCUAGGAGGAAGAUGUCCUUCUGAACCCCUGUCCCUGCCUCCCACUGGCUUCUCUCCAGCACCAGAGCAUCUCAGAGGCCGGCAUCCCCUUGGCAACAUUGCCACCAGCCUGGCAUGAUCUGAUGCUUAUCUGGACUGUGCCGGCUGGGCCCAGCCUCCGAGGAGCUAAGGUGGACACCAUGGCAACGGCCUAGCUACUGGGAGGCCCUGGGCUGCUCCUGGGGAUGUCAAAUCAGUCUUCUUCAUUCUCUGGGGGCUGAGCCCGGGGUCCAACCUCAGAAGGACAAAGUCUUUGAGGGAGAAAAAGCAUCUUCAAACUUGCUUGGAAUGUAUUGUUGCAAUCAAUUGCCUCUGAGAGCCCAGGGGAACCAUCAGUCAAUUCGUUCUGUGGAUAGGCCGGUCCGCGUGUCUACAGUGACUGUCACCACACCACAGGAGCGAGUCUCCUCGGUGGGGAGGAGGAGUCACAGUUAAAGUAGGUCGUGGAAAGCUCCCGUGCAGGAGAGCUGCAUGGGGGAGACGCGGUGUGGUGCCAAGGAGACAGGCAGAUGUCCUGGGUUCAAAUCUUGGCUCUGCCUUCUAAUUCCCUCACCUCGCUGAGUGCCAGUGUCCUCAUUUACAAAAUGGGGAUCGUAACAAAGACUUAUCUUGCAGGGCUGUUGUGAGGACCAGAUCUGUUGAAAAAUGAAAAUUCCCUGGAAUGUAGAGAGUGUGCACUAAAUCACAGCUGGUUACAUUAGCAUCAGUGUGGAAAUGUAACAGUUAAGAUGUGUGAUGUGUUCUUAUGUGGAUACUUAGUAGAUUGGUUUGGCAGCUGUUGAGAGUAACCUGCCAAGGUCCUGGUGCUGCUACAAGGGCUGAGACCAAGGUGGGGGCGGGGACAGCUCAGCCCGUGCCAGGCACGAUGCCCAACCCUCAGCCUGCCUGAUCUCAUCUGUCUUCACGACCACCUGCAAGGCAGGCAUCAUUGUCCCCCCUUUUAGAAGAGGAUUUCCAGAUCCAGCGAGCUCAAGUAACUUGCCCAAGCUCCAUCAGGGAAUGAGAUCAGAGAUUCUCACAAAUAAAACUGAGAAGAUACAGCAGCAGCAGCUAGUACACAUGCCACACAAGAUCACCGUGGGCCGUCUUUGGCCACAAGUCCCAGCCUAUCCCCCAACCCCUUCCCACCACAAACAGAAAUGCUCCUUGCUAAGGAGGAAGACUGUGUGACUGCAUUUGCCUGGACCAUGUUCCUGGGUCCCUGAGAACCUGCGGAACGUGGGCUGGUCCCUUGAUUCCAUGGCAGGGAUUUAGGAAGUGGAGCGGAUAAGCGCUCACCUUGGGGGUGUCUGGGCAGGCAGGAGCUAAGCAGGUGAACGGUUCUUAAGCACCAGCCCCCCUUUUUCCACCUUGAAAAGAAGGCCCAGCACUGGCCAGAAACUUCCCGCCAGAAGCAUUUAAGGUCCUGCUUUUUGCCCGUGUUAACGCUUGUCAUUGAAUGUCUGCAGAAGGGAGGAACAGAGAACAAGCUGUGGGAGACGAUGCUGUUCGCGCAUUUUCCCAGCGCUAAGUCAGAUUGUUUCCUGAAGGCCCUCUGCCUCUAUCAGAGCCAACUUUAAAGGGCCGUGCUGAGCCCGACUCCCCGUUGGAGAAUGCAAGACUGGCAGAAAUGCAGCUGUGCUUACUAAAUCCAAACGCCAUUUUAUUACGCCGAGGGCAAAGGGCCCUAACGAAGGUGAGCAACCAUCAGCAAACGUCAUUAACAUGAAUGCACGGAACCCACAGACGUGGGGCUCCACUGACUGGGUGGGACCUCAGAACUUCACAAAGUUCCUUCUUUUAAGUGUUUCUGGAAGUCGUGGGGGAGGGGAUUGUCUUACACACGCUUCCAGACAAGUUCAUGCUAGGCAAUCUUGGAGUUGCCUGCCCAGGGCUGGGUGCAGUUUUUGUGGGUGCUCCCACUGCUGCCUAUAUAGGGUGCAAUAGUCCAGUGCUCCUCUAGUCAAAGCCUCAAGAUUCCCAAACAGCCUCUUUUCCCCCUCUGCCCUUACUGUGUUGGAGCCAUGCUGGGGUCCAUGCAGAAUGGGGAGAGUUUGUUCAUGCAAUGACUGUCUAUGGAGCAUCUGCUAUGUGCUAAGUUCUGGAGAUGCGCUGGGGACUAAAUGCAACAUGGUAUUUGUUCUUUACGGAGUUUGUGGUCUAGUGGGGGACAGAGAUGGUAAAUAAACAAAUGAACAGAGAAAUUAAAAAUUGUGAGAAGAGCUGCUAAGGAAAUCAACAGGAUGCUUUCAAUUAUAUAAACUAAGAGGAGGGUGGACCUUGGCAUGAGGCAGUCAGGGAGGACCUCUCUGAGGAGGUGACCUGAAUGCUGAGACCUAAGAGCCUUCCUGCCAAAAGCAAGGGACAGAGCAUUCCAGGUGGCAGGAACAGUGUGGGGGCGGUGCGGAGGGCUGGGCCGGAGGAACCGGGAAGAGGGUAAAUUUCUGGAACCCAGGUCGGAGAGAGAGAGGUGGGAUGUGAGGUCGGAGACGGAGGCUGGGCGGGUCAUUCAAGAGCAAGGUGAGGAGUUUGGAUUUUAUUUUGAGUGUGAUGUAAUCCCCAAAGGAUUUUAAGCAAAGCAGGGAUGUGAUUUAAUCUAUGCUUUAAAAAUGUCGCUCUCUAGGGUGAAGCAGGAGGGGAGGCCGGGAGAGCAGAGAGAGGAG
Molecule: long non-coding RNA, 5036 nt
Filed under: Equus caballus (horse)
Lineage: Eukaryota; Metazoa; Chordata; Mammalia; Perissodactyla; Equidae
Description: lncRNA (ENSECAG00000044769.1)
Source: RNAcentral